RNAcentral lists this unclassified non-coding RNA (294 nucleotides) under uncultured fungus. Its description in RNAcentral is "sequence contains ITS2". Lineage: Eukaryota; Fungi. The record is from RNAcentral.
AACGCAAGUUGCACUUCCUGGUAUUCCGGGGAGUACGCUUGUUUGAGGGUUAGUUCAUAAAAUCGUGAUAAGAAAUUUUUACGGAUCUGGAUUUUCCAAAGAAAGUUUUUUGGUGAUCCAAAAAUUAUCUUAACAAUAGGUGAUAUUGGAAAUGUUUAUCUUUUAAUUCAUUAACAAUUAUUACCAACUUGUUGCGUCGUGUUAUUUUCCUAAUUUCUUAAUUAGAUAAAGUAAUACAAUUUUAUUUUUUGAAAUCUGACCUCAAGUCAAGUAAGAAUACCCGCUGAACUUAAA